UCAGUGGUUGCUCAGUGGUAGAACCCUUGUCUUUCAUGUAGGAGACCCGGGUUUAAUUCCAGGCCAAUGUA
Molecule: transfer RNA, 71 nt
Filed under: Loxodonta africana (African savanna elephant)
Lineage: Eukaryota; Metazoa; Chordata; Mammalia; Proboscidea; Elephantidae
Rfam family: tRNA
About the family: Transfer RNA (tRNA) molecules are approximately 80 nucleotides in length. Their secondary structure includes four short double-helical elements and three loops (D, anti-codon, and T loops).
Source: Rfam by way of RNAcentral